GCGGUUCAACCAAAAAGAUGGGGAAUCUCUAUAUGAUGCUUAGACUUUAUUACUGGACUUUCAUCGUCAUUUCAUCAUCAUGAUUCCUAGACACGACUCUACAUGCAUGCAUGAGACAGACUCUUCAAGUAUUAAAAGAUCAUAACAUCAUCAACAAAUCAGAAUCAUAAAUUCGGACUCUUCCUAUUAUGCACGACAUCAAGACAAACACAUCAUCGUCAUUCACAUCAUCAUCAUAAGUCAACAUCGUCAUUCUCAUCAUCAAUGUAUAUUAGACACCAUCAUUCAAGUCAUCAUCAUAAUUAUACGUCGUCAUUCUCAUAGUCAAUAUAUAUAUAUUUACACACCACCCUCAUCAUCAUCAUAGAUAAACAUCAUUACUCUCCUCAUCAUACUGAUGUAGUUAUCGUCAUCCUCAUCAUCACUAACAUAUAAACAUUAUCAUUUCUCAUCGUAUUUAUUUAAUUACAUAUAUAUAAUAUCUUCGUCAUCACUCUUCGUCACAUUAUGGAUUCCUCAUUAUUCAUCUCUAUCAACCGUUUAUAUCACCAUUGUAUCUCUUCACUAAUCCAACCCUUACACAUAAUUCAAUUCUACGUCAACUUCCCUAUAUUUUAUUUUAGUAUUCAUUUUACGAACAUACAUUAUUCUCUCAUUUAUUCUAGACUCUAUAAACUUUAUUCCUAAUAUCAUACCCUAUUCCUCAUUCUUGGUCUCAAGUUGUUUUUCUUAUUCGCUAUCAUUACAUGCAAAGUCUCCGCUCUAUAUAUCUAGGUUUUUCCUCACAAUUGUUAUUAACUCUUUCCUACUUAUUCUCCUCAAUAAAACGACUUUAUAUCUUAUUACUUGUUCACACGUUCGUCGUCAUCUAUACAUCGUCCGUCCCCUAAUCUUAACUUCAUUUUAAUUUUAAAGUUAUUAUCUAACCUAAUACUUCAUUAUAAUUCGAGGUUUCAUUCUCUUGAUACCGGUCGUUAUUAUAUUCGUCACUCAUUACAACUACUACCUCUUAUCCUCUUUCCUGUGCAUCUUGCUCCCUGCUAAUCGAUCCUCUUCUUAUUCAUCGUUAUCAUCAUUCCUGUUAUGUUUUCAGUCCUUAAUAUACAACUCCUUACCUUCUCUUACAUUUCGUCUUAACGAUCUUCUCAUCGUUUACGAUCAUAUUCUUUAUUCAUUUUUUUACAUCUUAUAUGUUACUGUCUAACACUCAUCUUAAGUUCUUUAACUACUUUGGUUCAUUCCCUCUUUCAAUCAACAGUAUUCUUAGACUCAUUAUUGGUUUAAGGAGAUCAUAUUUCAACUCAUUAGUUAUUCGAAAAAGAACCUACUUCACAUCCCAUAUUAUCAUCGUCUUAUACCCUUUUUACUAAAUCGUGUGUUUUUAGUCUCACCACAUACCCACACUAUUUGCUCUAGUAAUUUCUCGUCUUGUUACCCUUAAUCAACUUGAUAUCCUUUCUCAAUAAUAUUAUCAUCCCCUAAAUUACCCAAUACUUUAACUCCUACUCAUAACAUAACCCACUUCAUAAUUUACUCGUCACCCUAAACAAGACACGUCAUCGUCAUUACUCGUC
RNAcentral lists this long non-coding RNA (1574 nucleotides) under Medicago truncatula (barrel medic). RNAcentral describes it as "long non-coding RNA (MTRU_LNC007360)". Lineage: Eukaryota; Viridiplantae; Streptophyta; Magnoliopsida; Fabales; Fabaceae. The record is from RNAcentral.